UGUCUCCUCCAUCUCCUCAAAGGAUGGAUUAGCCCCAGGCCUCACGGCCCGGGGCUUUUUUU
Acidovorax sp. RAC01 is the source of this 62-nucleotide small RNA. It matches the Rfam family "Betaproteobacteria toxic small RNA". From Rfam's summary of the family: Overexpression in amino aid rich medium attenuates growth, suggesting role in repressing amino acid intake and metabolism. NCBI's taxonomy places the organism in Bacteria, Pseudomonadati, Pseudomonadota, Betaproteobacteria, Burkholderiales, Comamonadaceae. The record is from Rfam.